RNAcentral lists this ribosomal RNA (309 nucleotides) under uncultured eukaryote. RNAcentral describes it as "partial 18S ribosomal RNA". It matches the Rfam family "Eukaryotic small subunit ribosomal RNA", at positions 1470 to 1796 of the family's 1831-position model. The record is from RNAcentral.
CCCUUAGAUGUUCUGGGCGGCCCGCGCACUACAAUGGCGUGUGCAGCGAGUGCCGAAGUAGAGUUUUCCGAGGUAUUCUUGCAAUGCUCGUUUUGAUGGGGAUAGACCCUUGCAACUGUUGGUUUUGAACGAGGAAUUCCUUGUAAGCAUGGUUUAUCAUCCGACGCUGAACGCGUCCCUGCCCUUUGUACACACCGCCCGUCGCUCCUACCGAUGAGUCGUCCGGCGAAGUUCGUAGACCUCGUGAUCGCGGAUCACUGGGGGAAGCAAAAUGAACCUCGCGGUUUAGAGGAAGGAGAAGUCGUAACA